Molecule: ribosomal RNA, 1931 nt
Filed under: Escherichia coli
Lineage: Bacteria; Pseudomonadati; Pseudomonadota; Gammaproteobacteria; Enterobacterales; Enterobacteriaceae
Description: bacterial LSU rRNA
Rfam family: Bacterial large subunit ribosomal RNA
Source: RNAcentral
UGUGAGCUCGAUGAGUAGGGCGGGACACGUGGUAUCCUGUCUGAAUAUGGGGGGACCAUCCUCCAAGGCUAAAUACUCCUGACUGACCGAUAGUGAACCAGUACCGUGAGGGAAAGGCGAAAAGAACCCCGGCGAGGGGAGUGAAAAAGAACCUGAAACCGUGUACGUACAAGCAGUGGGAGCACGCUUAGGCGUGUGACUGCGUACCUUUUGUAUAAUGGGUCAGCGACUUAUAUUCUGUAGCAAGGUUAACCGAAUAGGGGAGCCGAAGGGAAACCGAGUCUUAACUGGGCGUUAAGUUGCAGGGUAUAGACCCGAAACCCGGUGAUCUAGCCAUGGGCAGGUUGAAGGUUGGGUAACACUAACUGGAGGACCGAACCGACUAAUGUUGAAAAAUUAGCGGAUGACUUGUGGCUGGGGGUGAAAGGCCAAUCAAACCGGGAGAUAGCUGGUUCUCCCCGAAAGCUAUUUAGGUAGCGCCUCGUGAAUUCAUCUCCGGGGGUAGAGCACUGUUUCGGCAAGGGGGUCAUCCCGACUUACCAACCCGAUGCAAACUGCGAAUACCGGAGAAUGUUAUCACGGGAGACACACGGCGGGUGCUAACGUCCGUCGUGAAGAGGGAAACAACCCAGACCGCCAGCUAAGGUCCCAAAGUCAUGGUUAAGUGGGAAACGAUGUGGGAAGGCCCAGACAGCCAGGAUGUUGGCUUAGAAGCAGCCAUCAUUUAAAGAAAGCGUAAUAGCUCACUGGUCGAGUCGGCCUGCGCGGAAGAUGUAACGGGGCUAAACCAUGCACCGAAGCUGCGGCAGCGACGCUUAUGCGUUGUUGGGUAGGGGAGCGUUCUGUAAGCCUGCGAAGGUGUGCUGUGAGGCAUGCUGGAGGUAUCAGAAGUGCGAAUGCUGACAUAAGUAACGAUAAAGCGGGUGAAAAGCCCGCUCGCCGGAAGACCAAGGGUUCCUGUCCAACGUUAAUCGGGGCAGGGUGAGUCGACCCCUAAGGCGAGGCCGAAAGGCGUAGUCGAUGGGAAACAGGUUAAUAUUCCUGUACUUGGUGUUACUGCGAAGGGGGGACGGAGAAGGCUAUGUUGGCCGGGCGACGGUUGUCCCGGUUUAAGCGUGUAGGCUGGUUUUCCAGGCAAAUCCGGAAAAUCAAGGCUGAGGCGUGAUGACGAGGCACUACGGUGCUGAAGCAACAAAUGCCCUGCUUCCAGGAAAAGCCUCUAAGCAUCAGGUAACAUCAAAUCGUACCCCAAACCGACACAGGUGGUCAGGUAGAGAAUACCAAGGCGCUUGAGAGAACUCGGGUGAAGGAACUAGGCAAAAUGGUGCCGUAACUUCGGGAGAAGGCACGCUGAUAUGUAGGUGAAGUCCCUCGCGGAUGGAGCUGAAAUCAGUCGAAGAUACCAGCUGGCUGCAACUGUUUAUUAAAAACACAGCACUGUGCAAACACGAAAGUGGACGUAUACGGUGUGACGCCUGCCCGGUGCCGGAAGGUUAAUUGAUGGGGUUAGCGCAAGCGAAGCUCUUGAUCGAAGCCCCGGUAAACGGCGGCCGUAACUAUAACGGUCCUAAGGUAGCGAAAUUCCUUGUCGGGUAAGUUCCGACCUGCACGAAUGGCGUAAUGAUGGCCAGGCUGUCUCCACCCGAGACUCAGUGAAAUUGAACUCGCUGUGAAGAUGCAGUGUACCCGCGGCAAGACGGAAAGACCCCGUGAACCUUUACUAUAGCUUGACACUGAACAUUGAGCCUUGAUGUGUAGGAUAGGUGGGAGGCUUUGAAGUGUGGACGCCAGUCUGCAUGGAGCCGGCCUUGAAAUACCACCCUUUAAUGUUUGAUGUUCUAACGUUGACCCGUAAUCCGGGUUGCGGACAGUGUCUGGUGGGUAGUUUGACUGGGGCGGUCUCCUCCUAAAGAGUAACGGAGGAGCACGAA